GGCUAUAUAAUCGUAUUAUAAGUAACAGUGAAAAUAUAUUUUUAAAAUAGUGGACUUACAAUCAAAACUAAUAACUCAAUGGGUGAAAUGGUAAGAUGAAAAAUGAUGAUGACCUUGUCUACUUUGUUGUUUUCCUGUGGGCUAGGGUUGUCAUUAUAUUAUGAAUGAUUUUUGAGCAUGUGAGAAUUGUUGAGUUGCCAAAACAAACAAAGCUUCCUCAAUUGAGUAUCAACACAAAGGAACUUGACGUCCUCCCUUUCAUCUCAAGUUUCUCUCUUUAUUUAUGCAUCUACAUCACAAGAAAAAUUGUUAACAAAAAUAAAUGAAUUUAGACUACAUCAUGCAAACUUCAUAUAUUGGUACAUUACAUACUAAUGUAUAUAUUAAGAAAAAAAAGUAAUUAUUAUAUCAUCAAAAUAAUUUUCCUCAAGUACUCAAGGUUAUGGAAUAUAUCAUCUUAGGGUAGAACAACUUACUUCAUCAGAAUAGUGGUACCUCAUAUUCCGCUAAACUUCUAACUCACUCAAUGACAAUAAAUCACAAAAAUAAUAAUAUUAAAAUGUAAGAAGAAGAAGAG
This 577-nucleotide long non-coding RNA is filed under the name Solanum tuberosum (potato). Its description in RNAcentral is "long non-coding RNA (STUB_LNC009601)". The record is from RNAcentral. Lineage: Eukaryota; Viridiplantae; Streptophyta; Magnoliopsida; Solanales; Solanaceae.